This is a non-coding RNA of Zootermopsis nevadensis, 342 nucleotides long. The record is from RefSeq and is a predicted model, not a curated record. NCBI's taxonomy places the organism in Eukaryota, Metazoa, Arthropoda, Insecta, Blattodea, Termopsidae.
UGGUUGAAUAUGGAAUUAAACAGCUGCUUCAUAGUGAACUGUGUCCUCCUGCCACUACCACAAGGCGUAAGUUAGAAUCGUGUGUAACUUCGUUUUUUAUGCUGGACGCCAUGAUGAAGCAGAUUUCAGCGGGGCGGCGAUACUGGAAAAGCAUCAUGCAGAAGAAACUUGACGGCCACGAGUCUCUUCCCGAGGGAUGCUGCAGAUCCAUAUUCUGGGAUUCCAUCAGCUUCUGCCACGUACACCUGGAACAGACAGUUCAACAAAAAAAUGACGACGUGCGACUCACCGUGCCGAAUGCGCCCUCAGCCAGUUUGGACAGCAUUCGGAGCCUGUGUCUGG